Molecule: ribosomal RNA, 417 nt
Filed under: uncultured bacterium
Lineage: Bacteria
Description: bacterial SSU rRNA
Rfam family: Bacterial small subunit ribosomal RNA
Source: RNAcentral
UGGGGAGUAUUGCACAAUGGGGAAGACCCUGAUGCAGCGACGCCGCGUGAGCGAUGAAGUAUUUCGGUAUGUAAAGCUCUAUCAGCAGGGAAGAAGAUGACGGUACCUGACUAAGAAGCCCCGGCUAACUACGUGCCAGCAGCCGCGGUAAUACGUAGGGGGCAAGCGUUAUCCGGGAUUUACUGGGUGUAAAGGGAGCGUAGACGGCGAUGCAAGCCUGGAGUGAAAGGCGGGGGCUCAACUCCUGGGACUGCAUUGGAAACUGUGUAGCUUGAGUGCCGGAGAGGUAAGCGGAAUUCCUAGUGUAGCGGUGAAAUGCGUAGAUAUUAGGAGGAACACCAGUGGCGAAGGCGGCUUGCUGGACGACAACUGACGCUGAGGCGCGAAAGCGUGGGGAGCAAACAGGAUUAGAUACCC